GUCUAUGGCCAUACCACCCUGAACGCACCCGAUCUCAUCUGAUCUCAGAAGCUAAGCAGGUUUGGGUCUGGUUAGUACUUUGGUGGGAGACUGCCUGGGAAUAAUGGUGCUGGAGCCU
RNAcentral lists this ribosomal RNA (118 nucleotides) under Mandrillus leucophaeus (drill). Lineage: Eukaryota; Metazoa; Chordata; Mammalia; Primates; Cercopithecidae. The record is from RNAcentral.